UACGGAGGGUGCAAGCGUUGUCCGGAUUCAUUGGGUUUAAAGGGUGCGCAGGCGGGCCAUUAAGUCAGGGGUGAAAGACGGUUGCUCAACAAUCGCAGUGCCUUUGAUACUGGAGGUCUUGGGUGACCUUAAGGUAGGCGGAAUGGGUGGUGUAGCGGUGAAAUGCAUAGAUACCACCCAGAACUCCGAUUGCGAAGGCAGCCUACUGGAGGUUCACCGACGCUCAGGCACGAAAGCGUGGGGAUCAAACAGG
RNAcentral lists this ribosomal RNA (253 nucleotides) under uncultured bacterium. RNAcentral describes it as "partial 16S ribosomal RNA". It matches the Rfam family "Bacterial small subunit ribosomal RNA", at positions 524 to 776 of the family's 1533-position model. The record is from RNAcentral.